RNAcentral lists this ribosomal RNA (501 nucleotides) under uncultured bacterium. RNAcentral's name for it is "partial 16S ribosomal RNA". It matches the Rfam family "Bacterial small subunit ribosomal RNA", at positions 30 to 523 of the family's 1533-position model. The record is from RNAcentral.
AUUGAACGCUGGCGGCAGGCUUAACACAUGCAAGUCGAGCGGGGGAAGGUAGCUUGCUACCGGACCUAGCGGCGGACGGGUGAGUAAUGCUUAGGAAUCUGCCUAUUAGUGGGGGACAACAUCUCGAAAGGGAUGCUAAUACCGCAUACGUCCUACGGGAGAAAGCAGGGGAUCUUCGGACCUUGCGCUAAUAGAUGAGCCUAAGUCGGAUUAGCUAGUUGGUGGGGUAAAGGCCUACCAAGGCGACGAUCUGUAGCGGGUCUGAGAGGAUGAUCCGCCACACUGGGACUGAGACACGGCCCAGACUCCUACGGGAGGCAGCAGUGGGGAAUAUUGGACAAUGGGGGGAACCCUGAUCCAGCCAUGCCGCGUGUGUGAAGAAGGCCUUAUGGUUGUAAAGCACUUUAAGCGAGGAGGAGGCUACUUUAGUUAUUACCUAGAGAUAGUGGACGUUACUCGCAGAAUAAGCACCGGCUGACUCUGUGCCAGCCGCCGCAGUAA